GGUGAUCGACAUCAUCGGACCGUCCCUUGUCUUUUGCCUGCCGCUUCGUUCACCUCAUUGUAAAUAAACCCAUAUCAUCCGUAACAGUUUUGGUGGAGGUGCGGGGUACCCGACGCCCUGGACAACACUCUCGCAGACGACCUUCGAAGAAGCCGACGCCUAGCCGGACUACCUCCGGAACAUACAGACAUGACCGACACCCGCGAAGGCACGUCGGCCGGCAACGCCACCGAGCAAGGCAGCCACCGACCAAGGCAACCUAGCUACUGGGCACCUGAGCCAAGCCUAUUCUCAGAAUUGAAAAGUCAAGUGCGGAAACUGCAUCAGGAAGCUGCCGUGUAGGUCAGGAAUGUCAACCCAGUUUGAACGGUACGGAUUGCGGAGGUGACAAGAACUGUAUCUGCGUCUGGUUCCUCAAUAUCAGUGACAAAAAAUUCCAGUGUCAGAACGUUAGCUAACAACAGUCAAGUUCUGCAAGCAAAUGGAAUAAAUGU
Long non-coding RNA from Rhipicephalus sanguineus (brown dog tick), 494 nucleotides. RefSeq lists it as uncharacterized. Lineage: Eukaryota; Metazoa; Arthropoda; Arachnida; Ixodida; Ixodidae. The transcript has 3 exons. The record is from RefSeq and is a predicted model, not a curated record.